RNAcentral lists this ribosomal RNA (484 nucleotides) under uncultured bacterium. Its description in RNAcentral is "partial 16S ribosomal RNA". It matches the Rfam family "Bacterial small subunit ribosomal RNA", at positions 30 to 507 of the family's 1533-position model. The record is from RNAcentral.
AUUGAACGCUGGCGGCAGGCCUAACACAUGCAAGUCGAGCGGAUGAAGGGAGCUUGCUCCUGGAUUCAGCGGCGGACGGGUGAGUAAUGCCUAGGAAUCUGCCUGGUCUUGGGGGAUAACGUCCGGAAACGGGCGCUAAUACCGCAUACGUCAUGAGGUAGAAAGUGGGGGAUCUUCGGACCUCACGCUAUCAGAUGAGACUAGGUCGCAUUAGCUAGUUGGUGGGGUAAAGGCCUACCAAGGCGACGAUCCGUAACUGGGCUGAGAGGAUGAUCAGUCACACUGGAACUGAGACACGGUCCAGACUCCUACGGGAGGCAGCAGUGGGGAAUAUUCGACAAUGGGCGAAAGCCUGAUCCAGCCAUGCCGCGUGUGUGAAGAAGGUCUUCGGAUUGUAAAGCACUUUUAGUUGGGAGGAAGGGAAGUAAGUUAAUAUCUUGCUGUCUUGACGUUACCAACAGAAUAAGCCCCGGCUAACUUCGUG